This 464-nucleotide ribosomal RNA is filed under the name Vreelandella stevensii. Its description in RNAcentral is "partial 16S ribosomal RNA". It matches the Rfam family "Bacterial small subunit ribosomal RNA", at positions 338 to 795 of the family's 1533-position model. Lineage: Bacteria; Pseudomonadati; Pseudomonadota; Gammaproteobacteria; Oceanospirillales; Halomonadaceae. The record is from RNAcentral.
CCUACGGGGGGCAGCAGUGGGGAAUAUUGGACAAUGGGCGAAAGCCUGAUCCAGCCAUGCCGCGUGUGUGAAGAAGGCCUUCGGGUUGUAAAGCACUUUCAGUGGGGAAGAAAGCCUUGGGGCUAAUACCCUCGAGGAAGGACAUCACCCACAGAAGAAGCACCGGCUAACUCCGGCCCGCAGCCGCGGUAAUACGGAGGGUGCGAGCGUUAAUCGGAAUUACUGGGCGUAAAGCGCGCGUAGGCGGUCUGAUAAGCCGGUUGUGAAAGCCCCGGGCUCAACCUGGGAACGGCAUCCGGAACUGACAGGCUCGAGUGCAGGAGAGGAAGGUGGAAUGCCCGGUGUAGCGGUGAAAUGCGUAGAGAUCUGGAGGAAUACCAGUGGCGAAGGCGGCCUUCUGGACUGACACUGACGCUGAGGUGCGAAAGCGUGGGUAGCAAACAGGAUUAGAUACCCCGGUAGUC